This 23-nucleotide small nuclear RNA is filed under the name Arabidopsis thaliana (thale cress). Its description in RNAcentral is "snRNA_18252". The record is from RNAcentral. Lineage: Eukaryota; Viridiplantae; Streptophyta; Magnoliopsida; Brassicales; Brassicaceae.
AUUGUUAUAGUCAUGGAGAAAAG